Molecule: ribosomal RNA, 265 nt
Filed under: uncultured archaeon
Lineage: Archaea
Description: partial 16S ribosomal RNA
Rfam family: Archaeal small subunit ribosomal RNA
Source: RNAcentral
ACACGACUACAUUAGAUACCCGCGUAGUCCAGGGUGUAAACGCUGCGGGCUUGGUGUUGGGGGGUCCUUUGGGGGCAUUCAGUGCCGGAGAGAAGUUGUUAAGUCUGCUACUUGGGGAGUACGUCCGCAAGGAUGAAACUUAAAGGAAUUGGCGGGGGAGCACCGCAACGGGAGGAGCGUGCGGUUUAAUUGGAUUCAACACCGUAAACUCACCAGGGAAGACUGUUACAUGAAGGCCGAGAUGAAGACUCUGCUAGAUUUUCAG